RNAcentral lists this ribosomal RNA (549 nucleotides) under uncultured Glomeromycotina. Its description in RNAcentral is "SSU rRNA". It matches the Rfam family "Eukaryotic small subunit ribosomal RNA", at positions 548 to 1098 of the family's 1831-position model. The record is from RNAcentral. Lineage: Eukaryota; Fungi; Glomeromycota.
UUGGAGGGCAAGUCUGGUGCCAGCAGCCGCGGUAAUUCCAGCUCCAAUAGCGUAUAUUAAAGUUGUUGCAGUUAAAAAGCUCGUAGUUGAAUUUCGGGGUUAGUAGGUUGGUCGUGCCUAUGGUAUGCACUGGCUUUACUGAUUCCUCCUUCUUGAAGAACUGUAAUGUCAUUAAUUUGGUGUUGCAGGGAAACAGGACUGUUACUUUGAAAAAAUUAGAGUGUUUAAAGCAAGCUAACGCUUGAAUACAUUAGCAUGGAAUAAUGAAAUAGGACGUUCGAUCCUAUUUUGUUGGUUUCUAGGAUUGACGUAAUGAUUAAUAGGGAUAGUUGGGGGCAUUAGUAUUCAAUUGUCAGAGGUGAAAUUCUUGGAUUUAUUGAAGACUAACUACUGCGAAAGCAUUUGCCAAGGAUGUUUUCAUUAAUCAAGAACGAAAGUUAGGGGAUCGAAGACGAUCAGAUACCGUCGUAGUCUUAACCAUAAACUAUGCCGACUAGGGAUCGGAUGAUGUUAAUUUUUUAAUGACUCAUUCGGCGCCUUACGGGAAAC